This 253-nucleotide ribosomal RNA is filed under the name uncultured bacterium. RNAcentral describes it as "partial 16S ribosomal RNA". It matches the Rfam family "Bacterial small subunit ribosomal RNA", at positions 524 to 776 of the family's 1533-position model. The record is from RNAcentral.
UACGGAGGGGGCAAGCGUUAUUCGGAAUUAUUGGGCGUAAAGGGCGCGUAGGCGGCUAGAUGUGUCAAAGGUGAAAUCCCUCGGCUCAACUGAGGAACUGCCUUUGAAACUGUCUGGCUUGAGGCCGGGAGAGGGUAGCGGAAUUCCCAGUGUAGCGGUGAAAUGCGUAGAUAUUCGGAAGAACACCAGUGGCGAAGGCGACUCGCUGGACAGACAUUGACGCUGAGGUGCGAAAGCGUGGGGAGCAAACAGG